UUAUGACACAAUCUCAAAAAGAAAACAGUUGGAACUGUUUAGGAUUUUGCAAAGUUUGCCUGAUUAAACUAAGCCUUAAAGCGACGGCUAUAUUGUAGGUAAAGAUAAGUACUUCCACUCUUGUUAUGGGUAACAAGAGUACAAUGUCACA
Long non-coding RNA from Sander lucioperca (pikeperch), 151 nucleotides. RefSeq lists it as uncharacterized. The transcript is spliced from 3 exons. The record is from RefSeq and is a predicted model, not a curated record. NCBI's taxonomy places the organism in Eukaryota, Metazoa, Chordata, Actinopteri, Perciformes, Percidae.